This is a long non-coding RNA of Vespa mandarinia (Asian giant hornet), 1324 nucleotides long. NCBI's taxonomy places the organism in Eukaryota, Metazoa, Arthropoda, Insecta, Hymenoptera, Vespidae. The record is from RefSeq and is a predicted model, not a curated record.
CAGGAAGAGUAAGCAGAAUCCAGAUACAGCAUAAGAGUCCAGGAUUUGGAAGACGUACAUUCCACCUUGCGAAAUACAUGAGAGUCCAAUGAGAUAAGAUAAAGCACAGACUAUCGCAAUAAACACUUCUUUACGUCGACUGAUGAACCCUUCCAUAGUACAAAAUUGCGAAUCCAGACCAAUUAAAAGUAACAUAAAGAAGAAAAGACAGGACCAGAGAGGUGCACCUGGUAAUUGAAGGACUGCAGAAGGGUAUGCAAGAAAAGCUAAUCCUGGUCCUGAAGCAGCAACUUCGGCUACAGGUUUUUGUUGUUCAUGAGCCAUGAAGCCAACAACCGAAAAGAUGACAAAGCCAGCAAACAUGCUGGUCGAUGAAUUUACCGAGCAAACGAUCAGGGCAUCCUUGUAAACGUUGUUGGUAAAUUUGUUGUAGCUACCAAGAGCAACCAAUGUUCCAAGACCGAGUCCAUAGGAAAAGAAAAUUUGUAUUUGGACUGAUGUAAAAUCUUAUACCCUCCAUUGCACCAGGCAAAGUAAUCCCACGAAUUAAUAAAAUCGAUCUGUGAGUUCAUUGAUGGUGACAUUCAUUUGAUUAACAGAACACAUCUUAAUUACAUUGUGAUUCCUUGUCAUUUGAUCCCAACAAAGUAACGAACUUCUAUCAUAAGGAUUUACGCAAUAUUUUGUAUUCCAGUAAUUAUUACAGCUACCCCAAGGACAUCACAGCAGCGGCAUAACCGAUGCCUUUAAAAAGUGGAGCAAUUUUAAAAACACCUAAACCGCCGACUGUUAACAUUUGACCGAGAGCUAAUUCCAUAAAGAACAUUGGUAUACCAGCUAGUACCAAUGUUAAGAAAUAUGGGAUCAAGAAAGCACCACCUCCAUUUUUAUAACAGAGAUGAAGUAUUAAAAAUAAAGGUAGCGGAGAAAAGUAUACGGAUGUCCUUACCAGUAUCGGAACAUUUCCGAUGAAACGAAAUAAUGAUAAAGUAGGCGAGCAAGACUAGGAAGCUGGUAUAUCCGGAGGGUCCACGUGACACCGAUCUAUCCCUGCAUCCGUUCUCGGUACAGUCCAUCGUAUAGAUUGGUAACGCUUGAUACUGUAUAAACAUAUUUCAAAGUUAUACAAAAAUAUUUGAUAUGGUACAUUUUUUUUGUAUUUUCUUUUCUCUAAUUUCAAUAAUAGUUCAGAAAGAAAAAAGUGAGAAAAAUGAUAUGUACAAAUUCUUAUGUCUUUACCAAGAUUUGUUGAUCUAUAACAAUUGAAUUUUUCAAAGUAAUUGUCUUUUAAUAACAUUGAAAUAUAUGUGAAAUUUUUAUUUGA